GGAGAGGUGCCCGGAGCGGUUUAUCGGGGCCGGUUUCGAUCGGCGGGUUAACGCCUACGCAGGUUCAAAUCCUGCCCUCUCCG
Molecule: non-coding RNA, 83 nt
Organism: Alloactinosynnema sp. L-07
Lineage: Bacteria; Bacillati; Actinomycetota; Actinomycetes; Pseudonocardiales; Pseudonocardiaceae
Source: Rfam